RNAcentral lists this ribosomal RNA (253 nucleotides) under uncultured bacterium. Its description in RNAcentral is "partial 16S ribosomal RNA". It matches the Rfam family "Bacterial small subunit ribosomal RNA", at positions 524 to 776 of the family's 1533-position model. The record is from RNAcentral.
UACGUAGGGUGCGAGCGUUGUCCGGAAUUACUGGGCGUAAAGAGCUCGUAGGUGGUUUGUCGCGUUGUUCGUGAAAACCGGGGGCUUAACCCUCGGCGUGCGGGCGAUACGGGCAGACUGGAGUACUGCAGGGGAGACUGGAAUUCCUGGUGUAGCGGUGGAAUGCGCAGAUAUCAGGAGGAACACCGGUGGCGAAGGCGGGUCUCUGGGCAGUAACUGACGCUGAGGAGCGAAAGCUAGGGGAGCAAACGGG